This 132-nucleotide microRNA precursor is filed under the name Podarcis lilfordi (Lilford's wall lizard). Lineage: Eukaryota; Metazoa; Chordata; Lepidosauria; Squamata; Lacertidae. The record is from RNAcentral.
CUUCCAGUAGCACCUUAGAGACCAACUAAGUUUGUCAUUGGUAUAAGCUUUUGUGUGCAUGCACACUUCUUCAGAUACACAAAAGCUCAUACCAAUAACAAACUUAGUUGGUCUCUAAGGUGCUACUGGAAG